GCAGCUGUAAUUACUUAAUGUGUUAAUUAACAUCUGACCGAGGAGCAGAGUGAACCGGUGUCCACGCGGACUUUCCCCCUCCACCUUCAACCGACUUACACGAUUCACAUAUCAACAUGACGCCCCCCAAGCAGAAUGUUUGCUGCCCGCUCUGUCAUUCUGAAUUUACCUACAUAAGCAAACACCUAAGGUAUAGUCACGGCAUUAAAAAUUCAGAAGAGCGGAAGAUAUUGAUCAGGUUCAGUAACGGGAGAAUCAAUAUCAGAAAAAUGCCCUGUCCAGUGGAUGGCUGCCGUUAUGCUAGCACAAGGCUGGACAUGCAUAUUGACCAAGCUCACCCGGAGAUGGAGGGCGAGAGGAAGGCCCAGGUGAUUAAUGGUUUGAAGUACCAGGUAACGGUGAAUAUGCUGGGAGCUCUGAGCGCCACAAACCCAAGCCUUUCGAUGGUCUCACGUUUACACAUGGACCCAAGAGCAAGAGAGGAAGCAGGUCAGCAUCAUCCAACAUCAGGACCCCUUGAUGAUGAUACAUCCUGCACCUCGUGCAAAGAGCUUGAGGCAAAGAACCUUCAGCUUACAUCAGACUUAGGGCAACUAAGGAAGAAAUUGCUUUACCAGCACAGAUGGGCAAAAAGGGCAAAAAAGGCAAUCAAACGACUGGAGGAGGACCUCCAAAAGGGAUCCACAUGCCCGGUUCCUGGUGUGGACGUGGAUGCCCUGGUGGGGUCUGCAUCUACCUCUCCUGAUGAAGAACCACAGCACAUCACCAGACCUAAAUCAAAGCAGGAAAGCCGGAACAUCCAAUGUUUGGUGAAGGCGUACCCCAA
Fundulus heteroclitus (mummichog) is the source of this 826-nucleotide long non-coding RNA. RefSeq lists it as uncharacterized. The record is from RefSeq and is a predicted model, not a curated record. Lineage: Eukaryota; Metazoa; Chordata; Actinopteri; Cyprinodontiformes; Fundulidae. The transcript is spliced from 3 exons.